GUGCUCCCAUUGACAGCACAUAUACUAAAACUAGAAUGAUACAGAGAAUAUUAGCAUGGCCCCUGUGCAAGGAAGACAUACAAAUCUGUGAAGUGUUCAUAUUUUUA
Molecule: small nuclear RNA, 107 nt
Organism: Nycticebus coucang (slow loris)
Lineage: Eukaryota; Metazoa; Chordata; Mammalia; Primates; Lorisidae
Source: RefSeq, a predicted model, not a curated record